This is a long non-coding RNA of Pelmatolapia mariae (spotted tilapia), 830 nucleotides long. RefSeq lists it as uncharacterized. NCBI's taxonomy places the organism in Eukaryota, Metazoa, Chordata, Actinopteri, Cichliformes, Cichlidae. The transcript is spliced from 4 exons. The record is from RefSeq and is a predicted model, not a curated record.
ACAGCACACACUGUCUUUCUUGGAAAGAAACACUUCCUUCCAACAUACGGGACACACAUUUGGAGCUGAGGGUCUGAGCACAAGAUCAAAACAUGAGAGCUGCAGUGGGUGCCAUUCUUCUCUUGCUGACUCUGUGUCAGGGAGAGGCGCUGAGAUGCAACUUUUGUUUCUCAGACGACAGUAACCUCUGCACUCCUACAAGCACCCAGACCUGUUCGGGACAGGCUAAUGCCUGUGGUGCUGUGAUAUUCCAAGGCGCUCUGAGGUCUUCGUUCCGUCAGUGCAUGAACAUGGCGGUGUGUCAGGGCUACAUGACAACACCUGGUGUGUUUGCCCAAUGCUGCAGCACCGACCUUUGCAACUGAUCCUCUUCCUUUAAGUCUACAACCAUAUGAUCGCUGAUUCCUAAAUCAAGACUGGACGUUGUUAGCUUCAUAUUGCUCUUACACUGCUUCCAAUCAAGUGCAUUUCUGUUUGCUUUCUCUGUAAUGGAAUGGUAUUUGGUGUCUUCUGUGUCAGGUCCAAAAUAAACCAGUGAGCUUUGACUCUGAAUGACACUAGAUGGCAGUGGUGCACUAUACAACACUGCGAGCAGCCACUCAUCAGUCUGUAAAUCUGAUACAGUGCCAACCACAUUUAAUAAAGAGGAAAAAAACAAAAACCCCACACACGCUCUUUCUUGUUACAUAAACUGAAUCACAUAUGGAGAAUGACAUAUUUGAAGCCUGUCUCUCUAUACACUGAUCUCAAUUAAUACCUAUUGAACAGGAAAUAAUUCAGCCGUUCCCAAUCACAGUGCAGUGGAUUCUCCUUUGGGAAUAGUUCCUCCC